GGCAGCUGCCAUGGAAACAGUGCACUCCCAAACACACCCCUGCCUUCUUGCCUCUGCAGGGCACCUCCACAUUUGGACUAGCGAGCAUGUUUACUGGAAUGAAGAUAGAGAUAAAUGGCAGAGGGGACUUUUUGGUUUUCAAUUCACUGCGUGGAGCCUGAUUAAUUGAGCUGAUGUUGUAGUCACAAUGAAAGGAGGAGGAGUUUCCCAGAACCAGCUAGCCUGGCUGAACUGAGAACUGGGUCAAAGCCUGGCAGCAACAACGCACUUCAGAGCACAGUCAUCAAGAAGCAGUCUCUGCAAUACUUCUCUCAGGCACUAUCACAGAAAAACCACCACAGCUGGGUUCAAACAGUACAAAAGGCAAUAAGUAGUAUCACUACCAGGAAGCCAAGCAUAACAAAAAAGCAGACAAGCACCAAAAAACAAAGCACCUAGCCACAAAUACAUGCCCACACUGUCUCACCUGGCAGAGUCCAAACCAGACCUGGUGGUCUUCAUGCAGUAUUUCUACUCCUGCUGCAGCAGUGGCAGGUGGGAUACAGCCAGGAAGCCUUUGCUGCACGUCUCCCUGCUGGGGCUGGUUGGUGCAGCUCAGCCCUUCUCACUGCUGCACGUCCUCUGCAGGUCAGUCUCAGCUUCCUUCCUCCAAGCUUCAGCUGAAAUCAAUGUAAAAAAAAUUAGCUCACUCAGAGGUUAACUUGGAGCACCUGGUGCCCAGGCCCUGUUAGGCACCUCCAAGGGCUAAGUUCAGUCCUUACAGCUGCCUCUGCUCCAGCAAGCCCACUGCUGUCCUGUGGUGUUCCAGCAGGACCCAGGCCUCUGCAGUGGCAGGGACCCCCAGUCUGCUCUGUGUGUCUGUGCAGAUGAAGAUCCUUGGGGGCUUGGCUCCUCUGCCACACUGAUAACACUGUGCACAUCAGUCAGGGCAGUGAGGGUGCUGAUCCUAAAAUCAGGCCCAGGCAAAAGGAAGAGGAAACAGUUUCACUAGAAACUCAGUCUUUGGCACAUUGACUCAAGUUAAGUUCUGAGUGAAAUAAAAUAUGCUAUAAAGACUUUAAUAAAAAUCCAUUUACCCAAA
Long non-coding RNA from Passer domesticus (house sparrow), 1081 nucleotides. RefSeq lists it as uncharacterized. NCBI's taxonomy places the organism in Eukaryota, Metazoa, Chordata, Aves, Passeriformes, Passeridae. The transcript has 3 exons. The record is from RefSeq and is a predicted model, not a curated record.